UUUAUGGAGAGUUUGAUCCUGGCUCAGGAUGAACGCUGGCGGCGUGCCUAAUACAUGCAAGUCGAGCGAACGGACGAGAAGCUUGCUUCUCUGAUGUUAGCGGCGGACGGGUGAGUAACACGUGGAUAACCUACCUAUAAGACUGGGAUAACUUCGGGAAACCGGAGCUAAUACCGGAUAAUAUUUUGAACCGCAUGGUUCAAAAGUGAAAGACGGUCUUGCUGUCACUUAUAGAUGGAUCCGCGCUGCAUUAGCUAGUUGGUAAGGUAACGGCUUACCAAGGCAACGAUGCAUAGCCGACCUGAGAGGGUGAUCGGCCACACUGGAACUGAGACACGGUCCAGACUCCUACGGGAGGCAGCAGUAGGGAAUCUUCCGCAAUGGGCGAAAGCCUGACGGAGCAACGCCGCGUGAGUGAUGAAGGUCUUCGGAUCGUAAAACUCUGUUAUUAGGGAAGAACAUAUGUGUAAGUAACUGUGCACAUCUUGACGGUACCUAAUCAGAAAGCCACGGCUAACUACGUGCCAGCAGCCGCGGUAAUACGUAGGUGGCAAGCGUUAUCCGGAAUUAUUGGGCGUAAAGCGCGCGUAGGCGGUUUUUUAAGUCUGAUGUGAAAGCCCACGGCUCAACCGUGGAGGGUCAUUGGAAACUGGAAAACUUGAGUGCAGAAGAGGAAAGUGGAAUUCCAUGUGUAGCGGUGAAAUGCGCAGAGAUAUGGAGGAACACCAGUGGCGAAGGCGACUUUCUGGUCUGUAACUGACGCUGAUGUGCGAAAGCGUGGGGAUCAAACAGGAUUAGAUACCCUGGUAGUCCACGCCGUAAACGAUGAGUGCUAAGUGUUAGGGGGUUUCCGCCCCUUAGUGCUGCAGCUAACGCAUUAAGCACUCCGCCUGGGGAGUACGACCGCAAGGUUGAAACUCAAAGGAAUUGACGGGGACCCGCACAAGCGGUGGAGCAUGUGGUUUAAUUCGAAGCAACGCGAAGAACCUUACCAAAUCUUGACAUCCUUUGACAACUCUAGAGAUAGAGCCUUCCCCUUCGGGGGACAAAGUGACAGGUGGUGCAUGGUUGUCGUCAGCUCGUGUCGUGAGAUGUUGGGUUAAGUCCCGCAACGAGCGCAACCCUUAAGCUUAGUUGCCAUCAUUAAGUUGGGCACUCUAAGUUGACUGCCGGUGACAAACCGGAGGAAGGUGGGGAUGACGUCAAAUCAUCAUGCCCCUUAUGAUUUGGGCUACACACGUGCUACAAUGGACAAUACAAAGGGCAGCGAAACCGCGAGGUCAAGCAAAUCCCAUAAAGUUGUUCUCAGUUCGGAUUGUAGUCUGCAACUCGACUACAUGAAGCUGGAAUCGCUAGUAAUCGUAGAUCAGCAUGCUACGGUGAAUACGUUCCCGGGUCUUGUACACACCGCCCGUCACACCACGAGAGUUUGUAACACCCGAAGCCGGUGGAGUAACCUUU
This 1461-nucleotide ribosomal RNA is filed under the name Staphylococcus aureus. RNAcentral's name for it is "bacterial SSU rRNA". It matches the Rfam family "Bacterial small subunit ribosomal RNA". Lineage: Bacteria; Bacillati; Bacillota; Bacilli; Caryophanales; Staphylococcaceae. The record is from RNAcentral.